Pantherophis guttatus is the source of this 393-nucleotide non-coding RNA. NCBI's taxonomy places the organism in Eukaryota, Metazoa, Chordata, Lepidosauria, Squamata, Colubridae. The record is from RefSeq and is a predicted model, not a curated record.
AGUAACAGAUUUUACAUUUCACCACUGAUGCAAAGCAAAAGUGAGCAAACCGUUGGAGCAGAGGACAGCAUCUCUCACCUCCACAUAUUUUAAGAUGAAAUUCAGCUUGUUUUUCAGAGCUGUGAAUCAUGAUAGCCGGGCACACUCGAUAGGUAAUUUAAUCAAGACUGGAUGAAGGCGAGGCUCAAAUGAGAACCACAAAGGGUUAGUCUUUCUCGAUAGCUCUGUCCUUUCACUCUUCGGCAGACACUGAGCUUCACCAACUGGCUCGCUGGAGGUGUUAUUAAAAAUUCAGCAAGAGAAACAAAGGUGUAUAAGUGCCAGAUCUCCUCUUACUCUUUCCUUCAGAUACUUUGACAGACAAAAGUGAGGUAUGGCCAGGAUUAGUUAAGG